AUGUUCAUCCAUCCUCCUGGGAGCUGGAUGAUUUUGGACGGGAGAAACAGCUGGUUUAUUAUCAUCUAUCUGCUGAAUCUAGACGACCUGGCGGUCCGGGACGACGACACCGGGGAGCCGUCGCCGCUCCGGAUCUCCCCCUCCCAGUCAUCCUGCACCUGGGUGGCGAACUGGAGGUUCCAGAGCACGUCCUCGACCGACGGCCGGUGCACCGCCUCCUUGGCAAGGCACCUCAGGCAGAUCUCCAUGACGGUCCUCAGUGAUUCCUCUGAACAGCUCUUGCUCACCGCGGGGUCCACGAAGCUCCUCCUCCUGGCCCUGUCCUCCUCGGCCAUUGCCCACAGCAGCUGCAGCACAAUCAAGAUUCAGGUAUCUGUGUUGUGUUGUGCACUACCAUCUACAACUAGGUGA
Molecule: ribosomal RNA, 411 nt
Filed under: Triticum aestivum (bread wheat)
Lineage: Eukaryota; Viridiplantae; Streptophyta; Magnoliopsida; Poales; Poaceae
Description: partial small subunit ribosomal RNA
Source: RNAcentral